GAUGAACGCUAGCUACAGGCUUAACACAUGCAAGUCGAGGGGUAACAAGAGAAAAGCUUGCUUUUCUUGUUGACGACCGGCGCACGGGUGAGUAACGCGUAUCCAACCUGCCUAUAACUAGGGAAUAACCUUGCGAAAGUAAGACUACUGCCCUAUGACUUCCUUUGGCGGCAUCAAAAAAGGAAUAAAGAUCUAUCGGAUAUAGAUGGGGAUGCGUCUGAUUAGCUUGUUGGCGGGGUAACGGCCCACCAAGGCAACGAUCAGUAGGGGUUCUGAGAGGAAGUGCCCCCACAUUGGAACUGAGACACGGUCCAAACUCCUACGGGAGGCAGCAGUGAGGAAUAUUGGUCAAUGGGCGGAAGCCUGAACCAACCAAUUAGCGUGCAGGAUGACGGCCCUAUGGGUUGUAAACUGCUUUUAUACAGGGAUAAAGUUAGCCACGUGUGGUUAUUUGCAGGUACUGUAUGAAUAAGGACCGGCUAAUUCCGUGCCAGCAGCCGCAGUAA
This 506-nucleotide ribosomal RNA is filed under the name uncultured bacterium. RNAcentral describes it as "partial 16S ribosomal RNA". It matches the Rfam family "Bacterial small subunit ribosomal RNA", at positions 28 to 523 of the family's 1533-position model. The record is from RNAcentral.